Molecule: ribosomal RNA, 216 nt
Filed under: Glomeromycotina sp.
Lineage: Eukaryota; Fungi; Glomeromycota
Description: partial small subunit ribosomal RNA
Rfam family: Eukaryotic small subunit ribosomal RNA (bases 40-216)
Source: RNAcentral
GGGUCAGUAGGUUGGUCGUGCCACCGGUACGUACUGGUCUCACUGAUUCCUCCUUCCUGAAGAACCGUAAUGCCAUUAAUUUGGUGCUGCGGAGAAACAGGACUGUUACUUUGAAAAAAUUAGAGUGUUUAAAGCAAGCUAACGCUUGAAUACAUUAGCAUGGAAUAAUGAAAUAGGACGAUCGAUCCUAUUUUGUUGGUUUCUAGGAUUGACGUA